Molecule: ribosomal RNA, 505 nt
Filed under: uncultured bacterium
Lineage: Bacteria
Description: partial 16S ribosomal RNA
Rfam family: Bacterial small subunit ribosomal RNA
Source: RNAcentral
GACGAACGCUGGCGGCGUGCCUAAUACAUGCAAGUAGAACGCACAGUUUAUACCGUAGCUUGCUACACCAUACACUGUGAGUUGCGAACGGGUGAGUAACGCGUAGGCAACCUGCCUGGUAGCGGGGGAUAACUAUUGGAAACGAUAGCUAAUACCGCAUAAUAUUGAUUAUUGCAUGAUAAUUGAUUGAAAGAUGCUAUUGCAUCACUACCAGAUGGACCUGCGUUGUAUUAGCUAGUAGGUGAGGUAACGGCUCACCUAGGCGACGAUACAUAGCCGACCUGAGAGGGUGAUCGGCCACACUGGGACUGAGACACGGCCCAGACUCCUACGGGAGGCAGCAGUAGGGAAUCUUCGGCAAUGGACGAAAGUCUGACCGAGCAACGCCGCGUGAGUGAAGAAGGUUUUCGGAUCGUAAAGCUCUGUUGUAAGAGAAGAACGGGUGUGAGAGUGGAAAGUUCACACUGUGACGGUAUCUUACCAGAAAGGGACGGCUAACUACGUG